UAAACCAGCUUUCUUAAAACCAUUUUUAUUCUGCCUCUCAGCAACACUUCAUUUGAUUUGGAUAAAAGAUCAGGAACUCGAACACAAACAAACAGAAAACAAGGUGUGUAGAACAGAAAUCAAGAUCCAUAUACUGGAAUGAUGCUGGGAUCUCUGUGUGCUGAGAAUUGGUAUUCCUGGUUUAUGUCCUCCUGGGACAAGUGCUGGCUCAUGACAGAUGUCUGGGUGAAAUGACAGGUGGUCCACCCGUGUUUAUUUUUGUGAGGGUCUAGGGUUUUUAACAAAUGCCUGGGAUCCACAAUCAUCUAAGAACAAUGCUUUGUAUUUGUGUAACACUUAGAAUUUUCCCUCUGGGGCAAUCGUAUCUAUCAUGGUAAUUAAUUAUCAUACUGACCACUCCAAGAUAAGUAGGCAGGUGUUCUUAUCUCUAUUUUCCAGAUGAAGAAAUCUGAGGCACAGAAGGCUAAGAAACUUGCCUAAAGCCUGCUUGAAUAGAUAGAUAGUGGCAAAGAAGGUAUUGAAACUCAGGUGUUUUGAUUUAGACACUUGUUCUUUCACUUAGAAUAAGCUGCCUUUUCUUUUGCUUAGGAAGGUUAUUUUCAUGAUUUCUAGUACUAGUUUUUCAAGUUAUUUUUAACAUAUACCCCCUUAUCACCUUUUGUAUUAACCACUUAAUAUUUUCUUUGAGUCUACUUCUUUUUGUAAGUAAAUGUAUUUGACAAGAAAAUUAUACUCCUAAGUGGAGACUCGUAAAUGGAAAGCAAUAAAAUACAUAGACUGAAAAUAAAACCCAUUAAGUUAUUAAAUUUUGUCUAAACAGAAGACUUUGAACCUGAGGUCUGUUCUUUAUUAAGAAGGGAAACAAGCCAAAGAAUCAGAAAGGUGUUGAGGACCCAUGAGCACUAAACAGAGACAUUUUCUGAAAUGUAAUCAGGAUUGAAAAAGAAAAAUGCAAAUGUUCUUUGUGAUUUAGUGACACUUAAUCUUGUGGCUGCAUAUGACCUAAAAGUUAUCUUUGUGCACCACCAGGGGUAUAUCUUGCAUACGGGGUUAGCGUGUUCCGGCAGGCAGGAAAAUGGUGGCAUUGUUAAACCAGUAGUCACACCUACAGGGUUUACAUUUGACAGAAAAAUAAAUACAUUGGGUGGCAUUUCCAGGUGGCAUCCAGGAAAAUCAAAGAUCUUGCCUGAGACUUGCUCAAGAGAGAGAGAUUGAAGUAAGUUCAUUAAACACAGGCAGUAUAUUCCCAAAACUGGGAUGGGAGGGAUGCCCAUGGACCUAUGAUGGCCACUAAGUACAUUCUCAGAGUCUGAGUCUGUCUGAGGUGACAAAUGAGGUUGUGGUCAAGUUGACCCAUGGGGGCUGCAAGCAAGGGGCUGGUGGGAGGGAGUCAGGCGAGACUAAGGCGAAAGAGCAGAAAGCUCCUUCAUCCCCAUCUUUGAUGAUGGAAUGGACACAACGGCUUUUGAUAUACUGAAACAGUGAGGCUUGAUUUUCUUUAAAAAAAAAAAAAUCAAUGGCUUCAGCUGAUCUGGCUUUGCUGCCUGGGUUUCCUAAAUUUUGGACUUUUUUGUUGUUGUUGCCUGCUGUUCUUUCUGGUUUUAGCUCAUUUGCCAGGGACCUGCCUCUGGAGAGUCCUGGAGGAAAAGAUCUCACAGUCUGAAGUCAAGGAUCCAUUCCUCAAAAACUCCUCUGGGGUGUGUGUGGAUGAGGUCCAUCCUCCAUGCUCGUGGCUGACUGCUGGCUGUUCAGGCUCU
Molecule: long non-coding RNA, 1757 nt
Organism: Bos taurus (domestic cattle)
Lineage: Eukaryota; Metazoa; Chordata; Mammalia; Artiodactyla; Bovidae
Source: Ensembl